This 225-nucleotide ribosomal RNA is filed under the name uncultured bacterium. RNAcentral describes it as "partial 16S ribosomal RNA". It matches the Rfam family "Bacterial small subunit ribosomal RNA", at positions 1276 to 1500 of the family's 1533-position model. The record is from RNAcentral.
UAAAAGACCAUCCCAGUUCGGAUUGCAAGCUGCAACCCGCCUGUAUGAAGUUGGAAUCGCUAGUAAUCGCGGAUCAGCAUGCCGCGGUGAAUACGUUCCCGGGCCUUGUACACACCGCCCGUCACACCAUGAGAGUCGGGAACACCCGAAGUCCGUAGCCUAACCGCAAGGAGGGCGCGGCCGAAGGUGGGUUCGAUAAUUGGGGUGAAGUCGUAACAAGGUAGC